CCUCACCAGCACCAGCCUCCUUACAGGCAGCUGCCUGAGCACGCGUUUCUGAGGGGAUUCCAUUCGACAAGCUUUUGACGAGUCCUGCAAAGCUCCUUUUUAUUAAUCGGCCACGAAGGGCUUUCCUCUGUCAGGCUGCAAAGCAAGCGCCGGCUGCCUGUGCUGUUUAUAAACACAGACAGAUGUCUUUGUACGUGCCUUUAACCGGCUUGUUCAGGUAACCUGCUGGGGUCUGAUAGGCUAAGCCCCCCUUUUGCUAGAGAGAGAGAGAGAGAGCUCGAACGAGCAUACUUUUGUACGAAAGCCAUUGCAGCCCGCGGAAUCAGUGGCAUGACAGGACUACCCCCCUGUUGUGCUCUACAUGUUGGCCUGGCAGGCUGAGGUGCAUGGAGGUCCCUGGAAUUAGACUGAAUGAACUCUGAGUAGCUCAGGCAGACCCAGAGUAGGGAUGAAGGAGGAGAAGACUGCACCUUCCGUUUCAGUGUCUCAAAGUGCUUUACAAAUAUUAAUGGAUGAAGCCUCACAACAUCCCAGCGUGUUAUUUGUCGGUGAACACUCUGAAGGGGUAGGCUAAUCAGCGACCCAUAUACAUCAGCUGCAAUCCUAAUGCCAAAGGAGUCAUUUAAUAUACCGAAGAAAAAGUCACAGAGUGUAUAACUUCUGAAAGUGUUCAACUAAACAGGACUCUGGUAGGACCCUGCUAGACACUUCAUUCAAACGUAUCCUACAGAGAUGAUACAAGGAUCUGUAGGAGGAGACAAUACAUUUGUAUUCAUUGUAACCAAUGUUAAUGGUGUAGAAAACACUGUGGUCUAACUUGGACAGACUAGUAAAUACAGCUAUGCUAUGCUAAGAGACAUAUGAGAAAUGGAAAGAGUCAUGGACAAUUUGCAUUGACAACGGGAUUUAUUUCAAGCUAAAAUCUAUUUACAAAUUAUUGGGUAAUAGGCCUUAGGUACUGGAAAAUUGUGGAGACUCUCUUGCCAUUACCCAUUUAUUGGUGUUAGGCUAGAAAAUAUUUUGUCAAAUUGUCAUCGUUGUUAGGUACAUUUACAAGAAGAAAGGGAGUGAAAAAUUGAAUGUGGUUUUUGAGUUUAUUUCUCCUUUGCUUUUCCAAACAUCUUCCACAGGCAUAUUUUCCACUGCUUUAAAAUAAUAAGGAUAAUAAAAGGAAUAACAAGGACAAUAGUUAGGAUAAUAAAAUAUAUUAAACAAAAUAAAGCACUGCCUACAUGCUGUCUUUACCUCCACGUUCAAAUGUACUGCUGAGACUGAGAGUCGCAGUGAGUGCAGAUCAUUUGGCAAUGAAAUCCAUCCAGAAAAACGUUGUCUCUGCAAGCGCUGCAGCUCUGGGCCUUACGUGCCUUCUCUGUGCGAGUCUGUCUCCCUCCAGGCUGCUUCAGACAAAUUCCCUUAUUUUGCUCCUUUGCUUUGUUCCUUGAUUCUUCUCUUAUGUUGUCCCUUGUUUUGGGCCUGAUACAGAGCCCUUUAAAGCCUAUGGAAAUACUCCCACUGCCUUCCAUAGGUUUUGGCUCAGACCCUUUCAUGAGAAAGAUCUGGCAAGUAUGCUGUGGGGAGCUGCAUAAUGGCUGAUGCAUGUUCUCUUCAAGCUUAAUGCACUGACAUGGAGCAUUGCAGGCAUAAAGUAAAAAGUGUUGGGUUAUGUCCAUUUUGUAUGUUUUGUAUAAUUUCAGGAUCCCAUAUUGAUGAUCAAAAUGGAGUUUGUGCCCAUGUGAUCCAGCUGAUCACAGUUUCCCCGCCUUUUAUUUCUCCUCAGAAGUGGUAAACAACUUCUGAAUAGAACUGGUUUUUACCGCCUUUUCCCAGAAGGGGUCUUCUCCUCCUCCUACGGGGUUUCCCGGGCCAGAUUAUAUAAGUCUGCCCCGAGCACUACUCAGCUGCUGUCCAUGACAGUAAGGGUCAGACUUGCACUCACCUACCCAUCCUAUCAGUAGAGGGGGGCUAGGGUUUUCCUUCCACAUCUCUGCUUCUACUUUGUCAUCACCUGCAAGGAGAAGAGAAGGACAGACAGCCACAUUCCACUUACCAUCAUCCACCUUCAGCUGCUGUCCCCCAAUGUACCAUCUACUCUUCUACAGACCCAGAGGAACAUCAAGGGACUCCCUGGAGCUCCUCUCUAAUGGCUUUCAACUAGCCGGAGGAUUGAGGUCCCAGGCAACAAUCGACACUUGAUCUAUAGAAGGAGGUUUCUGUUAAGGGGUUUACUUACCUGUAUAUAGGGUUUAUUUUGGGAAAAUUAUGUAUUGCAUAAUUUUACUGUUUACCCCCUCCUUUUCUUUGGUCCAUUCAUUAUACACCAAUCCCUCAAUACACUCCAU
Molecule: long non-coding RNA, 2339 nt
Organism: Caretta caretta (loggerhead turtle)
Lineage: Eukaryota; Metazoa; Chordata; Testudines; Cheloniidae
Source: RefSeq, a predicted model, not a curated record